This is a long non-coding RNA of Marmota flaviventris (yellow-bellied marmot), 716 nucleotides long. RefSeq lists it as uncharacterized. The record is from RefSeq and is a predicted model, not a curated record. NCBI's taxonomy places the organism in Eukaryota, Metazoa, Chordata, Mammalia, Rodentia, Sciuridae.
CUUGCAGCCACUACUGCAGGCACCAGCUAAACCACUUCUGUUCCAGGAACUUCAUCUUUUUACCAUCGCUUCUGCAAAAGCCAGUUGCUGCUUCUUUAUUUCCAUUGGCCUUUGCCAGCAAAAUGAAUACAGGUUGGAUGCUUUUUCCUCCUGUUGCUUCCUUUUGAAUUGAAGACUCAGGUGGAUGAAUUUGAUUGAUGGGACUCAGUUCCUGUAUUUUUGUCCUAACUUCAAAAAGGAUUUGGGGAAGUGAUUUUUCUGAUUUCUACCCUAGAGAGGCAGGACUCAUAAGGGCAGUCAGAAGCAGCCAGCCUAUGAUGGUCCGGACAGAAACCUCAACUGAGUCACCCAGAGUUUGUCUGGUACCAUUCUAUCUUGUCACAGGUCUCCUUGGAUGGGAGGCCAAUCUGAAACUUCAUGGAUGACUGUAGCAGUUCACUUAAUCAACACUCCUGCCACAUUUACCUUAAAGUUUCACUUUGUGCCCUUGAUGGCUAAUUUUAUGGGUUGACUUGGCCAGCGUAUGGUACCCAUUUGUUUGCUACCAGUCUAGAUGUCGCUGUGAAGCCUGCAUUAUAUCUGCCGUGCAGUGAUCUGUGGGUGGACUACAUGUGAUGGAAUUGAUGGUCUCCCUCUAUCAUCGAUGUUACAGGAUUCUUUUUUAAAAUGUUUUUCUAGUUGUUGAUAGACCUUUAUUUUAUUUCUUUACAUGUGGU